ACGUAUUGCUAUUUUUAUCCUAGUCGAAAUUAUGAAACGAAACGUUUUGACAGUCCGUUUGCCAAUAAGCAGUGAUCAGUUUCUUUUGUUUGUUUUUCUAUUGUUUACCUACUAUAUUAGAUGAUGACUUACCUCCAAAACGCUUUAAAACUUUCGUUUAUAAUUCUAAGUGUGUUUAUAAUUAAAGAGCUACAGUGAAAUAAAAUGAAUUCUUCAAGAAAGGCAGCACCCAUGACAAAAGAUGAGACGAUGAUUCUAGCAGAACUUGUGGCGGCGAAAAAACAUUUCAAUAAUAAGGCAACAAAUGCCACAAACAAUAAAUUGAAGGAGCAGGCUUGGCAAACCCUUGUAAAUGAUUUUAAUUCGUCGAUUCGUCGUUUCCCACGAACUCCAUCGCAGCUUCGACUAAAAUGGGAAAACUUAAAGAACGCUACGGCAACAUAAGAAACAACCUUAGUAAGGCUGGAGGUGGUAAGGAUUGCAGAUGAAAUUUUGGAUAAAGCAUGCACAUUGUUGUAGGUCACAUAUAAUAUUUUUAACACUUUUACAGCCAAGCGGAAACAAGAUGGAAGAAAAGAAAUGCAAGGCUAGCAUAGGGACAAUGCAUUAGCAGAAUAUCUAAUAGCAAAAAAGAGACUUGACUUGGAAAAUAAAGAAAAGGAGAUUGUUGUAGCAAAAGUUAAGUUAGAUUUAGAUAAUUUAAAAAAUUAAAAAUUACUUAAAAGGAAUAUUAAAUUUCAUAAAUUAAGUAGGCAAUAAUAAUUUUAUGUUAGAUAGUUUUUUAAGUAUAUGUACAAAUUCUAAAUUAAAUAUCUUGCAUGUACUAACUACCAUGUAAUUAUCAUUUUGGAAAAUAAAAAAUAGUCAAAUUAUCUUUGGAGUUUAUUUUAUAAAUUAUCUUUGGAAGCAAUUAUUUAUAAGUACAUAGUUGUAUUUCAGAUGUAAGUUUUGAAAAAUUGUUACGAACAAUUAUAUUAUUUUCCUGUAAUGUAUCUGCGACUGAAAUUUCUGAUUCUAAUUCUUCUAAAUUCAUACUUCUGACGAUAUUAUGCAGCAUGGCAGCUAUAAUAACAGCUUGCAUAUUUUCUAGUUUUAAUCUACUUUUCAAUGAUAUACAGGGAGUCUUCUUUUACA
Molecule: long non-coding RNA, 1134 nt
Filed under: Bombyx mandarina (wild silkworm)
Lineage: Eukaryota; Metazoa; Arthropoda; Insecta; Lepidoptera; Bombycidae
Description: uncharacterized LOC114248789
Source: RNAcentral